CCUACGGGUGGCUGCAGUGGGGAAUUUUCCGCAAUGGGCGAAAGCCUGACGGAGCAAUACCGCGUGAGGGAGGAAGGCUUUUGGGUUGUAAACCUCUUUUGUUGGGGAAGAAGAUCUGACGGUACCCAACGAAUCAGCAUCGGCUAACUCCGUGCCAGCAGCCGCGGUAAUACGGAGGAUGCAAGCGUUAUCCGGAUUUAUUGGGCGUAAAGCGUUCGCAGGUGGUUGUACAAGUCUGCUGUCAAAGCGCGGAGCUUAACUCCGUACAGGCGGUG
RNAcentral lists this ribosomal RNA (275 nucleotides) under uncultured bacterium. RNAcentral describes it as "partial 16S ribosomal RNA". It matches the Rfam family "Bacterial small subunit ribosomal RNA", at positions 338 to 628 of the family's 1533-position model. The record is from RNAcentral.